This 324-nucleotide ribosomal RNA is filed under the name uncultured bacterium. Its description in RNAcentral is "bacterial SSU rRNA". It matches the Rfam family "Bacterial small subunit ribosomal RNA", at positions 72 to 422 of the family's 1533-position model. The record is from RNAcentral.
GUAGCAAUACAGGAGUGGCGCACGGGUGAGUAACGCGUGGGAACCUGCCCUGGAGUGGGGGAUAACCGAGGGAAACCUCGGCUAAUACCGCAUACGUCCUGAGGGAGAAAGAUUUAUCGCUCUAGGAGGGGCCCGCGUCGGAUUAGCUAGUUGGUGGGGUAAUGGCCUACCAAGGCAACGAUCCGUAGCUGGUCUGAGAGGAUGAUCAGCCACACUGGGACUGAGACACGGCCCAGACUCCUACGGGAGGCAGCAGUGGGGAAUAUUGGACAAUGGGGGCAACCCUGAUCCAGCAAUGCCGCGUGAGUGAUGAAGGCCUUAGGG